UUGAACGCUGGCGGCAGGCCUAACACAUGCAAGUCGAACGGUAACAGGAAGAAGCUUGCUUCUUUGCUGACGAGUGGCGGACGGGUGAGUAAUGUCUGGGAAACUGCCUGAUGGAGGGGGAUAACUACUGGAAACGGUAGCUAAUACCGCAUAACGUCGCAAGACCAAAGAGGGGGACCUUCGGGCCUCUUGCCAUCGGAUGUGCCCAGAUGGGAUUAGCUAGUAGGUGGGGUAACGGCUCACCUAGGCGACGAUCCCUAGCUGGUCUGAGAGGAUGACCAGCCACACUGGAACUGAGACACGGUCCAGGCUCCUACGGGAGGCAGCAGUGGGGAAUAUUGCACAAUGGGCGCAAGCCUGAUGCAGCCAUGCCGCGUGUAUGAAGAAGGCCUUCGGGUUGUAAAGUACUUUCAGCGGGGAGGAAGGGAGUAAAGUUAAUACCUUUACUCAUUGACGUUACCCGCAGAAGAAGCACCGGCUAACUCCGUG
Molecule: ribosomal RNA, 489 nt
Filed under: uncultured bacterium
Lineage: Bacteria
Description: partial 16S ribosomal RNA
Rfam family: Bacterial small subunit ribosomal RNA
Source: RNAcentral